Molecule: unclassified non-coding RNA, 334 nt
Filed under: soil metagenome
Description: partial contains 5.8S ribosomal RNA, internal transcribed spacer 2, and large subunit ribosomal RNA
Rfam family: 5.8S ribosomal RNA (bases 1-120)
Source: RNAcentral
GAUGAAGAACGUAGCGAAAUGCGAUAAGUAAUGUGAAUUGCAGAAUUCAGUGAAUCAUCGAAUCUUUGAACGCACAUUGCGCCCGCCAGUAUUCUGGCGGGCAUGCCUGUUCGAGCGUCAUUUCAACCAUCAAGCCCCAGGCUUGUGUUGGAGCCCUGCGGCUGCCGCAGCCUCCCAAAACCAGUGGCGGGCUCGCUAUCACACCGAGUGCAGUAGUUUACUCUUCGCUCAGGGCGUGUGGCGGGUGCUAGCCGUAAAACCCCCAACUUCUCAAGGUUGACCUCGAAUCAGGUAGGAAUACCCGCUGAACUUAAGCAUAUCAAUAAGCGGAGGA